Molecule: long non-coding RNA, 398 nt
Filed under: Taeniopygia guttata (zebra finch)
Lineage: Eukaryota; Metazoa; Chordata; Aves; Passeriformes; Estrildidae
Description: lncRNA (ENSTGUG00000025003.1)
Source: RNAcentral
GCAAGGUUUGGGAAAUGCUUGUCGUUGUGGCCAACUGAUAGGAGAAGAGACAAAUGUGGUGACAGACUUAUCAGAAACACUGGCUGAAAUGAAGCUGUUGGUCCAAACAUCCUCAUCAUCCUUUAUCCUAAAGCCAAAGCAAAAAUGAGAUGUCCCAGUGGGUGUGGGUCAUGUGAUUCUGGCAUGAGGAGCCUUGGAGAGGGCUGCAGACUCAGCAGGGAGCACUCUCAGGAGCAGACAGCCAAAAGCAGCUUCUUCUCACAGCAGAGAGAUGCCAUGGGAGACAGGAACCUGCUGAAUCCUAAAAUUGGUGGGAGACAGAUGUCAGGAACCUGUUUCUUGCAGAGGUGAGAUCUACCUUGGGUGGGUGCAAAGGAUUUCUGACACACAGUUUGCAG